This 484-nucleotide ribosomal RNA is filed under the name uncultured bacterium. RNAcentral describes it as "partial 16S ribosomal RNA". It matches the Rfam family "Bacterial small subunit ribosomal RNA", at positions 30 to 507 of the family's 1533-position model. The record is from RNAcentral.
AUUGAACGCUGGCGGCAGGCCUAACACAUGCAAGUCGAGCGGAUGAAGGGAGCUUGCUCCUGGAUUCAGCGUCGGACGGGUGAGUAAUGCCUAGGAAUCUGCCUGGUAUUGGGGGAUAACGUCCGGAAACGGGCGCUAAUACCGCAUACGUCCUGAGGGAGAAAGUGGGGGAUCUUCGGACCUCACGCUAUCAGAUGAGCCUAGGUCGGAUUAGCUAGUUGGUGGGGUAAAGGCCUACCAAGGCGACGAUCCGUAACUGGUCUGAGAGGAUGAUCAGUCACACUGGAACUGAGACACGGUCCAGACUCCUACGGGAGGCAGCAGUGGGGAAUAUUGGACAAUGGGCGAAAGCCUGAUCAAGCCAUGCCGCGUGUGUGAAGAAGGUCUUCGGAUUGUAAAGCACUUUAAGUUGGGAGGAAGGGCAGUAAGUUAAUACCUUGCUGUUUUGACGUUAACAACAGAAUAAGCACCGGCUAACUUCGUG